This is a non-coding RNA of Camellia sinensis, 378 nucleotides long. The record is from RefSeq and is a predicted model, not a curated record. Lineage: Eukaryota; Viridiplantae; Streptophyta; Magnoliopsida; Ericales; Theaceae.
AUCAUCCCCCGAACUCCCUCCCAGGUAUUCUCAUCUGAUCCAGCUUACAAUACCGGAGAUCCGUAACUACUUUAUAAAAGCACUUACUAGACCUAACCCAGAUAACCGCGGCUGUAGGCAGCUGCUCUUAAAUUCUCGAUUCUAACUAAAUGCAAUGUACAGAAAGCUCUAGAUCUCUCUGUUGUUGAGCUAGUGAAGGAUCUAAUUGGUUGAUUGUAGAGGGACCACCGAUCACUGUCUUCUGAUGCCAAAGUUCUGUUGUUUGUAAACACUGAAGAUGCUAAGUUGCUGAUUUUAUUUUCUUGUUCUUGGUAUUGCAACACUGUUAGGGCACAGAGGAAGUGUGAAAUCCAUCUGUUCUCAUCCAACAAACCCUGG